UAAGCAAAUCCCAAAAAAGGACGCCCCAGUUCGGAUUGCAGCCUGCAACUCGGCUGCAUGAAGCUGGAAUCGCUAGUAAUCGCGGAUCAGAAUGCCGCGGUGAAUACGUUCCCGGGUCUUGUACACACCGCCCGUCACACCAUGAGAGUUGGAGAUACCCGAAGCCUGUGAGCUAACAAACGAGGCAGCAGUCGAAGGUAGAAUCAAUGAUUGGGGUGAAGUCGUAACAAGGUACC
RNAcentral lists this ribosomal RNA (236 nucleotides) under uncultured bacterium. RNAcentral's name for it is "partial 16S ribosomal RNA". It matches the Rfam family "Bacterial small subunit ribosomal RNA", at positions 1264 to 1500 of the family's 1533-position model. The record is from RNAcentral.